UGUUAUGGCAGCUGUGCGCGGGCAGGCUUCGGCCUGGCCGGGUUCCUUUUGCCCCGGUAUUCCUACCCCGUGCACAGCUGCCACCCAA
Pseudomonas fluorescens HK44 is the source of this 88-nucleotide non-coding RNA. The record is from Rfam. Lineage: Bacteria; Pseudomonadati; Pseudomonadota; Gammaproteobacteria; Pseudomonadales; Pseudomonadaceae.